GGUCGGUCUCCCAGCCACGCUUGGGGUCGGCGCCUGCCUCACCGCCGCCCGCAGGGAGGAGCUCGUCCGCGCAGAUUUUAUCAGGGUCCAUAGUCACCAUGGUGACUAUGCAAGGCUACUCUCAUCCCUUCUCCUGAAUGCUGUCUGCAAGAGGCUUGCAGCACUCUUGGCCAGGAAGCAGAGAACAACAUAGGUAGCAACUUCUUAUGUCUUUGGAGGCUCAAAGAUGCCAUCAUGAGCUGUGCCAUCAGUAGGAGCAAAUUACAAUGGCUGCUCCAUGUCAGCAAUGGGUAAACUGUCUGUUCAGCUUCCCAGGAGCACUCAAGAGCACCUUUUAUCUUACUUUUUAGUUGGACAAAGAAAGUGCUUAGGGACAAACCAAUAUUGUGGAAGGAGAGAGAUGACAUUGGUCCUUAUAACCAAAAGAGAGGAAACAAACACUUUAGAUGUAUCAUUUAUUAGAUCAUCAUUUGGUGGGUACACACAAAGAGAGAAUUUAUCUAAUUCUGUCUUUAGCCUUUUUUCCCAAUGCUCGUCUGAAUAGGUUCUCUGUUGCGUUUGUCCUUGCUACAAUGCUGAGUUACCAAAGUUUCUAUUUCACUCAACCUCUUGUAGAUAAUAUAAGGGGUUUUAACUUUGGUCAAGGAAAUCUCUCCCUCAGCAUACAUUCUAUUACAACGUGCAUAUAUGAUAGUUCAUUACAAUUCAUAGUUGUUUAACACAAAUAUGAAUUAAACUUCCUUUUUGGAGAACUAGAAAUCAAAAAAUAUUUUAGUGGUUGCUAUAGUGUAGUUUCCAAUUUAACAAUGCAAGUCACAUGAUAAAAAAAUCAUUUACGCAUAGUUGCUAUACAAUAGGAUCUCAAAAUAUAAUUAAAAAUCUU
This is a long non-coding RNA of Chrysemys picta bellii (western painted turtle), 883 nucleotides long. RefSeq lists it as uncharacterized. Lineage: Eukaryota; Metazoa; Chordata; Testudines; Emydidae. The record is from RefSeq and is a predicted model, not a curated record.